This 87-nucleotide transfer RNA is filed under the name Roseivirga echinicomitans. RNAcentral describes it as "tRNA-Leu". It matches the Rfam family "tRNA". From Rfam's summary of the family: Transfer RNA (tRNA) molecules are approximately 80 nucleotides in length. Their secondary structure includes four short double-helical elements and three loops (D, anti-codon, and T loops). Further hydrogen bonds mediate the characteristic L-shaped molecular structure. tRNAs have two regions of fundamental functional importance: the anti-codon, which is responsible for specific mRNA codon recognition, and the 3' end, to which the tRNAs corresponding amino acid is attached (by aminoacyl-tRNA synthetases). tRNAs cope with the degeneracy of the genetic code in two manners: having more than one tRNA (with a specific anti-codon) for a particular amino acid; and 'wobble' base-pairing, i.e. permitting non-standard base-pairing at the 3rd anti-codon position. Lineage: Bacteria; Pseudomonadati; Bacteroidota; Cytophagia; Cytophagales; Roseivirgaceae. The record is from RNAcentral.
GCCGGAGUGGUGGAACUGGUAGACACGCAAGACUUAAAAUCUUGUGCUCUUCUGAGCGUGCGGGUUCAAGUCCCGCCUCUGGUACAA